GAGCGAGCGGGACACCGACAGUGGCAAGCCGGCCGGCGAGGAAGACAGGACGCCUGCCUGCCUGCCUCCCUGUCGAGCGAAGAGAAGAGGAGAGGAACGACGUCCAGCAGCGUCCAGUUGCACCGGCGGCCAUGGACGCGCUGAAAAACGCCGGGAGAGCGAUCAUCAAGAGCCCUGGCGUCCCGCGGCACACGUGGGGAACUUCCAAGCACGAAAAGCUUCCCGAGAACUGGACAGACACCAAAGAGACUCUGUUGGAGGGCAUGGCGUUCAACCUCAAGUACCUGGGAAUGACAUUAGUGGGCCAGCCCAAAGGGGAGGACAUGGCCGCCGCCGCCAUCCGCAGGAUCGUCACCACGGCCAGAGCCGGCGCUAAGAAGUUCCGCAAAGUCACGCUGACCAUCUCCCCGAAAGGCAUCGUCAUUACCGACACGGACACGGCGGACCUGGUCGAAAACGUCUCCAUCUACAGAAUCUCGUACUGCACAGCAGACAAAAGCCAGGACAAGGUGUUUGCCUACGUGUCUCAGAGCGCUUUCAACGAGACGCUGGAGUGUCACGCCUUCCUCUGCCAGAAGAAGAAGAUUGCUCAGGCCGUGACGCUGACUGUCGCACAGGCCUUCAAAGUGGCCCUGGAUCUUUGGGAGCUUGCUCAACAAGAUAAAAGCAGGAAGGCAAGAAGCGCAUGUUGCUCCUGCGCAGCCGCCGCCACCAACGGUCACGGGGCGGCAACAGACGCUCGCUGCCUUCCCGCAGCGGCGUUCUCUUCAGACACGUCUGGCAGCGCCGACAAGAUGCUGCGUCGGCCGUUCCUGUCCACCUCCAUCAGCUCGCCGUCGCCUCGCAGCAACCCCGCUCGGAGGCGACCCGUCAAACACGACUCCUGGGUAGGUUGGCCAAAAUGUUUGGAUGGUCUACCUAAUGAGCACAUGGCACCCCAAUCAUGCUUACUUGCGUGUAUUGAUUUUUGUUUUCUAUCUGCGCAGGACGUGGACGACGGACUGGAUGACCUUUUGGCAAGCAGCAUGGACGUAGAGGACACAGGCAGUGAAUGGUCAAGCCCGGCUCCUGACCCAUCUUUGCCCAUGCAGCUUUGAAUCUUGAAGUCGAUCGGACCGCGAGAGACGAAGGGGAUCGCUCGAGCCCGGUGGGAUCAGUGUGGACCCACAAUGUUGCCUCGAUGAGGACAACCAUCAAAAGCACCACCGCGAGGACCACCACCGUGAUCCGCCACAAUGCGGACAACUUCACAAUAAAGCCACUGUCAUUCUUGAGACACGAGCACUCGGUGUCCCUCACAAGCGCACAGCUGGUACAAGAACCCCGAAGAACCUUUCUUGGAAGACGGACGGCCGCAGCCAUGUCUCGUUUCCUCCUUUCUUUUCUUUGUGCUUUUCAAACAAAUUUGUUGAGGCACCUCACUUCUCCGUUUUGUAUCCAAGCAGCACGUUGCCACGCUAACGGGCUGUCAAGAAUAUCUUGCAGUGAAACGUCGCCACAUAUUGUGUGGAAUUUAAUUUGACAUCCGACAAGACGCAUCUCUACCGGCAGAUGGCUUGCAUGCAGGUCAGCAGAGUCCAUCCAGCACGGUAUGUGGAACAUGAAAUAUGAUUUUGCUAU
Molecule: RNA transcript, 1620 nt
Organism: Syngnathus acus (greater pipefish)
Lineage: Eukaryota; Metazoa; Chordata; Actinopteri; Syngnathiformes; Syngnathidae
Gene name: low density lipoprotein receptor adapter protein 1-B
Exons: 11
Source: RefSeq, a predicted model, not a curated record